Molecule: ribosomal RNA, 424 nt
Filed under: uncultured bacterium
Lineage: Bacteria
Description: partial 16S ribosomal RNA
Rfam family: Bacterial small subunit ribosomal RNA
Source: RNAcentral
GAAUAUUGGACAAUGGGCGAAAGCCUGAUCCAGCCAUGCCGCGUGUGUGAAGAAGGUCGUCGGAUUGUAAAGCACUUUAAGUUGGGAGGAAGGGCAGUAAGCGAAUAACUUGCUGUUUUGACGUUAACGACAGAAUAAGCACCGGCUCAAUAUGUGCCAGCAGCCGCGUUAAUACAGAGGGUGCAAGCGUUAAUCGGAAUUACUGGGCGUAAAGCGCGCUUAGUUGUUUCGUUAAGUUGGAUGUGAAAUCCCCGGGCUCACCCUGGGAACUGCAUCCAAAACUGGCGAGCUAUAGUAGGGCAGAGGGUGGUGGAAUUUCCUGUGUAGCGGUGAAAUGCGUAGAUAUAGGAAGGAACACCAGUGGCGAAGGCGACCACCUGGGCUCAUACUGACACUGAGGUGCGAAAGCGUGGGGAGCAAACAG